Molecule: ribosomal RNA, 759 nt
Filed under: Pediococcus acidilactici
Lineage: Bacteria; Bacillati; Bacillota; Bacilli; Lactobacillales; Lactobacillaceae
Description: bacterial SSU rRNA
Rfam family: Bacterial small subunit ribosomal RNA
Source: RNAcentral
CUAAUACAUGCAAGUCGAACGAACUUCCGUUAAUUGAUCAGGACGUGCUUGCACUGAAUGAGAUUUUAACACGAAGUGAGUGGCGGACGGGUGAGUAACACGUGGGUAACCUGCCCAGAAGCAGGGGAUAACACCUGGAAACAGAUGCUAAUACCGUAUAACAGAGAAAACCGCCUGGUUUUCUUUUAAAAGAUGGCUCUGCUAUCACUUCUGGAUGGACCCGCGGCGCAUUAGCUAGUUGGUGAGGUAACGGCUCACCAAGGCGAUGAUGCGUAGCCGACCUGAGAGGGUAAUCGGCCACAUUGGGACUGAGACACGGCCCAGACUCCUACGGGAGGCAGCAGUAGGGAAUCUUCCACAAUGGACGCAAGUCUGAUGGAGCAACGCCGCGUGAGUGAAGAAGGGUUUCGGCUCGUAAAGCUCUGUUGUUAAAGAAGAACGUGGGUGAGAGUAACUAUUCACCCAGUGACGGUAUUUAACCAGAAAGCCACGGCUAACUACGUGCCAGCAGCCGCGGUAAUACGUAGGUGGCAAGCGUUAUCCGGAUUUAUUGGGCGUAAAGCGAGCGCAGGCGGUCUUUUAAGUCUAAUGUGAAAGCCUUCGGCUCAACCGAAGAAGUGCAUUGGAAACUGGGAGACUUGAGUGCAGAAGAGGACAGUGGAACUCCAUGUGUAGCGGUGAAAUGCGUAGAUAUAUGGAAGAACACCAGUGGCGAAGGCGGCUGUCUGGUCUGUAACUGACGCUGAGGCUCGAAAGCAU